GACGAACGCUGGCGGCGUGCUUAACACAUGCAAGUCGAACGGUGAAGGGGAGCUUGCUCCCCGGAUCAGUGGCGAACGGGUGAGUAACACGUGGGCAACCUGCCCCAGACUUCGGGAUAACGCUUCGAAAGAGGUGCUAAUACCGGAUACGAACUCCUUGGGCAUCCUGGGAGUUGGAAAGUUUUUCGGUCUGGGAUGGGCCCGCGGCCUAUCAGCUAGUUGGUGAGGUAACGGCUCACCAAGGCGACGACGGGUAGCCGGCCUGAGAGGGCGACCGGCCACACUGGGACUGAGACACGGCCCAGAGUCCUACGGGAGGCAGCAGUGGGGAAUAUUGCGCAAUGGGCGAAAGCCUGACGCAGCAACGCCGCGUGAGGGAUGACGGCCUUCGGGUUGUAAACCUCUUUCAGCAGGGAAGAAGCGAAAGUGACGGUACCUGCAGAAGAAGCACCGGCUAACUACGUGCCAGCCGCCGCAGUAA
Molecule: ribosomal RNA, 481 nt
Filed under: uncultured bacterium
Lineage: Bacteria
Description: partial 16S ribosomal RNA
Rfam family: Bacterial small subunit ribosomal RNA
Source: RNAcentral